Molecule: ribosomal RNA, 253 nt
Filed under: uncultured bacterium
Lineage: Bacteria
Description: partial 16S ribosomal RNA
Rfam family: Bacterial small subunit ribosomal RNA
Source: RNAcentral
GACAGAGGGUGCAAACGUUGUUCGGAAUUACUGGGCGUAAAGCGCGUGUAGGCGGCUAAGUAAGUCGGGCGUGAAAUCCCACGGCUCAACCGUGGAAUUGCACUCGAAACUGCGUAGCUAGAGUCCUGGAGAGGAAGGUGGAAUGCUUGGUGUAGAGGUGAAAUUCGUAGAUAUCAAGCGGAACACCGGUGGCGAAGGCGGCCUUCUGGACAGUGACUGACGCUGAGACGCGAAAGCGUGGGGAGCAAACAGG